This 214-nucleotide long non-coding RNA is filed under the name Mytilus galloprovincialis (Mediterranean mussel). Lineage: Eukaryota; Metazoa; Mollusca; Bivalvia; Mytilida; Mytilidae. The record is from RNAcentral.
GACCUAAAAUAGAACCUUGAGGCACUCCAUACUUUACAAACGAUUUAUCAGAUUUAAUGUUAGCGUAUUGGACUUCUUGUUGUCUGUCAGACAAAUACGAUUUUAUCCAAUCUAUCAUAUGUUUUCCGAUAUGAUAAAAUUUUAACUUUUCUAGAAGUAUGGCAUGGUUUAUAAGGUCAAAAGCCUUACUGAAAUCUAAAAACACUGUACCAAC